Molecule: ribosomal RNA, 253 nt
Filed under: uncultured bacterium
Lineage: Bacteria
Description: partial 16S ribosomal RNA
Rfam family: Bacterial small subunit ribosomal RNA
Source: RNAcentral
UACGGAGGGUGCAAACGUUGCUCGGAAUUAUUGGGCGUAAAGGGCGCGUAGGCGGCUAGAUGUGUCAAAGGUGAAAUCCCUCGGCUCAACUGAGGAACUGCCUUUGAAACUGUCUGGCUUGAGGCCGGGAGAGGGUAGCGGAAUUCCCAGUGUAGCGGUGAAAUGCGUAGAUAUUGGGAGGAACACCAGUGGCGAAGGCGGCUACCUGGACCGGUUCUGACGCUGAGGCGCGAAAGCGUGGGUAGCAAACAGG